GCAUCUCGGAUCCUCCUGGUUGUCAUUAUCUACAGCUUUUCAGUGACUCUCCUACAUCUUGUGCUUCUCCACUUUUGCGCAGGAGAAGGGAAUGGCUUCCCCACAUACCUUUCUUUGGGGCUUUGUACUUUAUAUCUCCACGUUUGACUAUUGAAACAUCAUUUCUAAACCUCAUCUCCUGGUAAAAUGUACAGCCCAGGGAUACUUGCAAAUAUACUGCAAGAUACUUAACCAGUGGCUUGGAACAGCCUUCCAGGGACCUCGCUCUCCCCCAGGGAAUGGAAGCAUGGCUCCAUCUGUCAGAACCUUGACCUCCUGAUUUCCGGGGACCUUCACCUUUAGGCCACUCCAGCUACCCACACGCAAAGCCACACCUGGCUCUUAUCUUGGCUGGCUACUGCUCCACCCCUGAAACCUCAAAUAGCAGCGUCCCACUCUCCCUCAUAUCUUUCCAGAACUCUCUCACCACACUGGCUCUUUGACCUCUGUCUGAAUUCCAGGCUCUGGGCACCUCCUCCCUUCCCUCCCCAGCCUUUCUGAUCACAGUCUUGCCAUCCUCUUCUUCUGACACAUUGAUGGAUGAACCUAGAGUUCAAGCAAGAAAUACGGUUUUUGUAUUUGUAAGCCACUUAGAAUGUUCUGUUGUGGUUGUUAAUUGCUACAACAUCACCUGGGCCGUCCUUACUUAGGCACCUGCCUCCUGGGUGAAUGCGAAGAUGAAAGAAAGGCAAGUAAGAAGGGCACCAGCUCCAGUGCCUGGCCUAUAAUAUUUGUUCCAGGAAUAUGAGCAAUUACUCUCCCCCUCCCAAUCAUAGGGUCCACGGCAUUACCGUGUAAUAUAUCUGAAAAUGCCCAAUUAAUUCCAUCUUCCUUCUGUUCAAUAGCAAUCCCAGACUUCAUCCUUUAUCAUCCCACUAGACUUGAAGCCUCCAUAGGGAAAGGAGAAGUGAUCAGGGGGUACUUUUCUCCAAAUCUUUGAGUUUCCACUUCCCUCUCACUUUAGAAGGAGUCGAGUUCUAUGUCCCAACCACAGGAAUUGGAGGGCAGAAGUAGGAAUGCCUUCUAAGACUGGGAAAGAGUGAACACCAACUCAUUCAUUUAUUCAGCCAUCCAUUAUGAAUACCUAGCAGGAAGGCAUCUGGGGAUUGGAAAAAUGUAAUUUGAAGAUGAAGGAAGAUGGAGACCCAAAGAGAAAGUCAGGCCAACCUUCUUUUUCUUUCCCAAAUCUGCACUCUCUGUGAUGUCUCUUGCCUGCCUUGCCUUCCCAGCUACACCCAGGGGCCAAGGCUGGGAAGCAGGAGACUGGACAGAAGCUCAUGAAUCGGGCUACCCUGCCACUUUCCUGGGCAUGUGGAGGAAAGAACGAGAAAGCCAGUGAGGAACCUGUGAGGAAAGCCAGAGGAAGGAGGCAAAGUGGGGACAACCCUCCUGGAACCUCCAUCCACCCUCCCUGAUGGCCACCUGAGCAGCUGACAUAAAAAGACAGGCCUGCGUGCUUCCCCCACCUCCAGACAGGUCUUCCUGGAACCCCAGACAGACAGACGGUGAUGUUUCUCCUCUCCAGACAGCAUCCUCAGCAGCGGCCGCUGACUCAGCCACCCCGCCCUCUGUCUGGGUGGGGUGGGCGGGUAGCCGAGUCCCCAGGGUUGACGCUCUAGGUGGCACCAAGAGUAAAGUCACAGACAUCUGCAGACACAGACAUCUUUGAUUUUUCCCCCAAACCCAGGGACCUUUGCAGUUUUCUCUCCUUUACCUGUCACUCAGCCCCAGCACCUGGAUCCAAACCCAAACAGCCAUCAGCACCCUCGGUAGGAAACUGAGAUGGAAAGUCCUUGGAAGCAAAACAGCUUCCAGCUGGAAAGGCCUUAGGGACUGACCAUGCCCUCUUUGAGGAGAAAAAGGGCUGCUCACCCAUUCCAGGAAGACUCAGGAGUCUGGGCAGUGCCUGCAGAACCAGAAGAGAUGAACAGCUUAUAUCUGGGGCCAUAUUCCCGUUAAGCACAGCGGGCACGGCACCUUGGGUCACUGGUAUUUUAGGUCAAAGGAAAUGUUUUAUGAUAUAGUACUAAUGUAUUUGCCUUUAUACCAAGGCAGUUAUAAAGGCUAAUUAUACAAACACGUAUAUGCAUAUGUACAUGUGUAUGUGCAUGAGUAUGGCUGUGCCUGUAUAUAUGUGUAUGCACAGUUAUGAAGAAAGAGGUCCAUGAAGCUAGAAGUGCCUGGAGCCCAUGAAAGUCCUCUUGCUCACAUCACCUCUCGGGGUCUUGGUUUUCCCAUCUGUAAAGUGCAGACCAUAAUCCCGUCCCCAGCAUUCACCUCCGCGGUGCCAUCCCCGAACUAUCAUGACGUUACCACUUCCAGAUUCACAGCUUGGGAGGCUCCCCAUGUGUACAUUGCACAACAUCCAAACCUUGGGACGUUGCACUUGAGGCCUUUCACUGUUUUCCUCUUUGAGCUUCUCCUGCUCCCCCAGGACACAAAGCUCUCCCGUGGAAACACCUUGUCUGGUACCAGGUGUUCCCAGAACAAGCUGGACCUCGAGGUUCGGCAUGCCUUUGCACACUCAGAUCCCUUUUUGCUUCAAAUGUACCCUCUUCUCUAACUGAUCGUCUCCUACUCACAGUACUGCUACAUAAUUUGUGGGGUCCAGUGGACAAUGAAAAUAGGGGGUCCUUUGUUCAAUCACUCAGAACUUCAAGAUGGCAAAGUAGAACAUUCAGCCCAGCACAGGGCUCUUCCGAGCGUGGGGCAGAGGUCACACUCCCAUGAAGCCAGCUCUGCCUCUUCCUCUCCUGAAGUCAGCUCAGAUCUCAAUGGCUUUUUGAAGCUGGAGUGGAUCCCCAGCACAAAUAAUAGGAGGUCCCAAAACGGAGCGAUGCUUAUGUCCUAGGUGCUGUGCCAGGCACUUUAUAGCCAGGGUCUCAUUUCAUCUUCACAAUCACCCGACGAGGUAGGUAAGAUUAUGGUCCCCACUUUGCAGAUGGGGAAACCAAGGCUCAGCAAGCAGAUGUCAGAGAUGGCAUUUAAAACAAGGGCUGCCUGAGCCCAGAGCGCAUGCUCUUGCCAGCUAGGCUGCACCAUCCCUUCUGACUCCAUUGCCUUUCAAUCUGGCCUGUGCUGUCUAAGUUCUGAACUCCCCGGCCCCUGCCCUGCGCCCUCAGUUCCUGGUAAGCCAUCCUCUCAGCACCUCUGGUCCUUCAAACACAUCAAGAAGCCAAUGUCCUUUUUGCCAGCCCAGAGUAGCUUCCAGUGUCUCAGAAGACAUGCAUUCAAUCGAAAUAUCUUUUUCCUGGGAAUUAUCGGUCAGAAUUCCCACAUUCUCUGUGACCCUGAGUUUAGUCCAUUUGGGCUUCAAAAGGUCUUGGGAGCCCCUUGCCUUACCUCCAGGGCCCCUGUUAGUUCAGGCCCUCUUUAUCCUUUGUCAGACAUCAGUAUCUCCUUCACUAGCCCAUCUCUCUCUCCAAUCUGUCAGACACCCUGUAGUCAUCUUGUCUCAAAAAAUGCAGAUCUGAUCAUAUCUUCCCUCUUUAAGAUCCUCUGGGCCCCUGUUUCCUUCAGACCCCUUAGCCUGGUACAGAAGACAUUGCCAGCCUCUCCACUGGAACCUUCCCAUGUAUGAUCAUCACGAACUACUUAUUCAAAAUUCCCAGAAAGAGUCAUGCUUUCUCAUGUCCUCGUGACUGUGCAUAUAUAUGAUGCUUUCCUACCUGGCAUGCCUUUCCCAGAACUCUUAGGAAACACCUCCUGACAAGUUGAGGCUUAUUUAGCCUCACCUCCUCCAGGAAGCCUUCCAUACUGGCCCUUCCCAAGGCUGAGUUAAGGGUUUCUCCUCUACACCCCCUACGUCCCGCCAAUAACUCCCAGAGUUCCCCUCUGGCUCAGCACUUAUUUGUGUCUACAUGACUAGGCUCAGAUCCCUUUGGAGGUGGGGACCACAUCUAAUUCAUUUCUUUCUUUCUUUCUUUUUUUUUGUUUUUUCUUUUUACAGCCACACCUGCAGCAUAUAGAAGUUUCCAGGCUAUGGGUUGAAUCGGAGCUACAGCUGAGGCCUACACCACAGCCAUGGCCACACUGGAUCCAAAAUGCAUCUGCGACCUACACCACAGCUUGUGGCAAUGCUGGAUCAUUAACCUACUGUGCGAGGCCAGGGAUUAACCCACUGAGUGAGACCACGUCCUCACAGAGACUACAUCAGGUUCUUAAGCUGCUGAGCCACAGCAGGAACUCCCUGAGUUACCAGCCUCUGGCACUGGACUUCUUUGUGGCCUAAGAGGCAUACAAUAUGUAUUUUCUGGGUAAAAUCUAUACGUGAAUGACAACUGGGCCCAGGUACACUGAACGCUGGUCACCUGUCUGGCUUCAGGGGCUCCACUGAAACACAGCUGGGCAUAGCAACCUCUGCAGCGGGUAGAGAACAGGUGUCUGAAUUAGAGCGAGAGUACUGAAGGCUCAGGAAGAAAGCAAGUCAGACUGAAGGACUGAUCACCUAUUGUGCUUGAAGCUUCCAGAAAUACCUACAUUCCCAGAUGGGUGAAUGUGCUUAGAAUAUGAAGUCUAUAGCAUUAAACACUUAACUUCAGCAAAAGGAAUAAGUUGUACAAAAGCAGAAAUGCAAUCAUAAUAUUAUAUGGUUUGGCUGUGAUCUAUGUGGUCACAAGACUAAAUGCUAAAUCUAACCAGAAAUCAUGUUGUAACUAGAUCGGGAAGUUGGGAUAAGAUGAAGUGGCUUUGUAGGGAAGAGAGUUGAAUCCUUCUUGUCCAUCAUAAGCCAGUCAAUAGGACAUAUCUCAAAACACAGUAUUUAGAAACAUGGAGGAGUUCCCGCUGUGGCACAGCAAGACUGGCAAGGUCUCUGCAGUGCUAGGUCACAGGUUUGACUCCUAGCCUGGCAUAGUAGUUUGAAGGAUCCUGCAUAUAUGGUGGUCUAGGUCACAGCUGCCGGCUCGGAUCUACUCUUUGGCCUGGGAACUCUAUAGGGUGUGGGGCAGCCAAAAAAAAAAAAAAAAA
Molecule: long non-coding RNA, 5007 nt
Filed under: Sus scrofa (pig)
Lineage: Eukaryota; Metazoa; Chordata; Mammalia; Artiodactyla; Suidae
Description: lncRNA (ENSSSCG00025006566.1)
Source: RNAcentral